CAGCCAGCAGCACGCCAGCCGCAUGGCUGACCGGCUUGCUCUGGAGGACCUAAACCUGGCGGUCACUAAGGGCGAGGUAGUGGGUGUGGUGGGUGCCAACGGCGCCGGCAAGUCCACUCUUUUCAAGCUGCUCGUCGGGGACGGCAGUCCUCCAUCGUCAGGAAGCAUCGAAGUAUUCGGGAACAAGA
Long non-coding RNA from Hyalella azteca, 188 nucleotides. RefSeq lists it as uncharacterized. The record is from RefSeq and is a predicted model, not a curated record. Lineage: Eukaryota; Metazoa; Arthropoda; Malacostraca; Amphipoda; Hyalellidae. The transcript is spliced from 3 exons.